UCGAGAAUCUUUCGCAAUGGGCGCAAGCCUGACGAAGCGACGCCGUGUGAGCGAAGAAGGCCUUCGGGUUGUAAAGCUCUUUCGCUAGGGAACAAGAAAGGUGAGAUAACACCUCGCCGAUUUGAUGGUACUUGGUAAAGAAGCACCGGAUAACUCCGUGCCAGCAGCUGCGGUAAUACGGAGGGUGCAAGCAUUGAUCGGAAUUACUGGGCGUAAAGGGCGCGUAGGCGGCCGAAUAAGUCAGAUGUG
RNAcentral lists this ribosomal RNA (249 nucleotides) under uncultured Chlamydiales bacterium. RNAcentral describes it as "partial 16S ribosomal RNA". It matches the Rfam family "Bacterial small subunit ribosomal RNA", at positions 355 to 596 of the family's 1533-position model. Lineage: Bacteria; Pseudomonadati; Chlamydiota; Chlamydiia; Chlamydiales. The record is from RNAcentral.